Long non-coding RNA from Microplitis mediator, 1018 nucleotides. RefSeq lists it as uncharacterized. NCBI's taxonomy places the organism in Eukaryota, Metazoa, Arthropoda, Insecta, Hymenoptera, Braconidae. The record is from RefSeq and is a predicted model, not a curated record. The transcript is spliced from 2 exons.
UACGCGCGUUUUAUUAAAUUUCAUUGAUUAAUUUAUUUAUUUAAAAUUUAUAAAUUGUCUUACAUCUGCUACACUCACACUCGUAUUUUUUCGAGUGUGAAUGUUGUUGUCAAUUGACGAUUUUUUUAUGAGUGUGAAUAUAGCAGACGAGACAAUUUAUAAAUUUUAAAUAAAUAAAUAAAUUAAUUAAAAAAAAUGCGCGUUACAUUUUUUUUUAGUCCUUAUGUAACAAAUUAAAAAAUAAAUUACCAGUGAAAAAUAAUUCAUUAAUUUAUAAUGAAUAUUCCAAAAAAUUAUUUUGAAAAUUCAAUUUUUUUGAACAAAGGAGAUUACCUGAAUUUUGAAAAAUUUUGUAAGAAUAAAGUAACCAAAUUGGAAUUUACAAAAAUACCCAGUCAUUAUUCUGUCAAUGGUCAAAUUUACUAUGAAAUAGAAAUGAGGUUACAAGGUCUAAAAAUUCUGACAGCAUCACUAAUACCCCAUGACAUUCUCAAUAUACGUUUGCAGGAAUUAAACCCGCCAUAUUUAAUAAGAAAUAUUAAUUUUUUUAUUCCCAUUGACGUUAAUGCCAGUGAGAUUCUUGUGAAAGUUAACGAUAAUAAAACAAUUAGCAUCCAUGCUCCGAUGAAAACAUUGAGUUUUGAUAAAACUCUCGUUCAAAAAAAUCAAUCACUUUCUUAAUUCAUCGGAAAAUUAAUACUGAAAUUUUGAAAUAAAUAAAAAAUGGAUCGAGUCAUCAAUUCUUAGUUUAUUUGCUAAAAAAAAGAUAUUAAAUAAUUACAAGUCUGACAACUCUGAGUUUUUAUAUUUUUUAUUUUGCAUCGGCUCUCAUGUUCUUAAGAUGUUAGUUCUGUAUGUUGGUGACAAAUUAUUUCUUGGCUGGUGCUUUUUCAGCUUUUACUGCCGUGGGUUUUGUCGCCGUGGGUUUCUUCGCUGGCGCUUGGGUUUUUUUCGGUGCUUUCGCUACUUUUGGCUUGGCCGCUUUCGCAGCAAGAAUCUGCUUCUUACGACGUUCCAA